UCUGUACACUAAUAUACCCUAAACAAAAUAAGGGAGUUCAGGGGGCAAAAGAAUGACUUUGAUGAACUCGUAAUUGAGCAACUGUGAUCACCUCCCGAGAAAAAAAGAUGAUCUCCUCUUUUAAAGUAACUCAACCUAAGAGCUUAAUCCGGGGGAAUCCUCCAACACAACUAGUUUCAAUCUGAGCUAUCAUCUGAGCCAAUCUGACUGCAAAUUCCAUAUAUGAGCAGGAGCAUGAGGAUCCAGAGGACCGGAGGCAUCUUGAGCAUAAACACAAGAGAUUGUGCCCAGCUGUAUUUUCAACCAGCACAUAGCUGCUGAUAAAGACUGUUAUCCAUUUCAGGAUCUCCAUCAUAAUCAGGAGUAGCAACAAUUAACUAUUUAAAAAGUUGUAUUAAAUGAACAAUCCUUUUUUCUGACAGAAAAUU
Molecule: long non-coding RNA, 428 nt
Filed under: Eucalyptus grandis
Lineage: Eukaryota; Viridiplantae; Streptophyta; Magnoliopsida; Myrtales; Myrtaceae
Description: long non-coding RNA (EGRA_LNC003724)
Source: RNAcentral